This is a non-coding RNA of Drosophila melanogaster (fruit fly), 749 nucleotides long. The record is from Ensembl. Lineage: Eukaryota; Metazoa; Arthropoda; Insecta; Diptera; Drosophilidae.
UAAGCUGCCUGCACCGGCAGGACGGACACCACCGGCGGCUGACGACGUGGCCACAGGCCCAGCUUGCUCAGUCGCUUCUCCUCGUCGAUGUUUGUGUCGUGCAUGUCGUGCAUUCGCAGGACGUGGAGCGGCUUCUCGGAAUCCUUCGAUCGAUUGCUUCUCAUGGCCAGCGGAUGGAAGGGAUCGUCUCCGUAGAGCUCGCAGUAACGGGCACUCUUCACCAGCCCGAUGAUCUGGAACAUGGCCACGCAGGUGCAGGCAUUGUAGCCCACAAACACUGAGAGAAGUCGGGGUGGAGUCACUAGAGCAACUAAAAAUGAAUACUUACAUAUAUAGAAACAGCCCAAUAGAGUGAGAAUGAUAAGAAGGCCCAAGUUAAUCUGCUUCUUUAGCAUGAUCAUCAGAACAAUAUGAAGGAACGUAAUGUGUAUAAAGUAGACAAACUCACAAAAUGCCAAGGGUAGUAGAAACCAUUUCCGUAACUGGUUGAAACAAAAACCCUUUUGCUAUAAAUCAAAUCUAUUAAAAGGAACCUAACUUACCUUAAUGGCACCAUAAAUACUUAAGAAGGCUGCAGCCGAAUGCAUAAAGGAUAUUACGUGGACAAAUGCGCAUAAGAUCUCGGGAUCUAGUAAUUCAAAAUAUUUUGUCAAAAUAUAUCAUCUAAAAGGCCAGUAAAUAUUUCACUGUAUAAUACCCACCGUUCUGACUCCAACUGAUGGACUUUCGAACCCACUUUCUGUCCUUAU